RNAcentral lists this ribosomal RNA (499 nucleotides) under uncultured bacterium. RNAcentral's name for it is "partial 16S ribosomal RNA". It matches the Rfam family "Bacterial small subunit ribosomal RNA", at positions 28 to 507 of the family's 1533-position model. The record is from RNAcentral.
GAUGAACGCUGGCGGCGUGCCUAAUACAUGCAAGUCGAGCGAACAGACGAGAGUGCUUGCACUCUCUGCCGUUAGCGGCGGACGGGUGAGUAACACGUGGGUAACCUACCUAUAAGACUGGGAUAACUUCGGGAAACCGGAGCUAAUACCGGAUAAUAUUUAGCUUCGCAUGACGCAAUAGUGAAAGACGGUUCUGCUGUCACUUAUAGAUGGACCCGCGGUGUAUUAGCUAGUUGGUGAGGUAACGGCUCACCAAGGCAACGAUACAUAGCCGACCUGAGAGAGGGAGAGGCGACACUGGGACUGAGACACGGCCCAGACUCCUACGGGAGGCAGCAGUAGGGAAUCUUCCGCAAUGGACGAAAGUCUGACGGAGCAAUGCCGCGUGAGUGAAGAAGGUCUUCGGAUCGUAAAACUCUGUUGUAAGGGAAGAACAAGUACGUUAGUAACUGAACGUACCUUGACGGUACCUAACCAGAAAGCCAGGGCUAACUACGUG